UGAUCCCGAUGCAGCUGCUGCGGUCCGUCAGACCUUCUGGGUGUUUCUGCCUCCAAACCUCCGUCUGAUCCGAGCGGACAUGGCGGUGCAGCCCGGGAUAACCACCGCUACGCUCCACCGGGGACCAACUUUCUCCGAUUAUCCGAUAAAAUGAAUAAAAUCACCAUGUUUGGAGAAAACCAAUGCUGCAGCGUUUCGGUGCGCAAAACUCUCCAAACUUUUGCCGGCAGAUUUCCAAAAGCAGGAACGGCUUUUCCAGGGAGAUGAAGGAAGUGUGGAGGAUUCUUUCCAGGAAGUGAUGAAAAAUCUUCUAACAACAGACGCGGUGACGAGGGUGCGAACAGCAAUCGGUGGCUCCUCCUCUCUGACUCGCUCACCUUUGACCUGCCAGAUGUCUGGAGGAACCAGGAGCAUCAGAACCACAGAUCCACACCAACCUUUCCUCAGACAGGCAGCAGCUUUCUGCAAUGUUUUCUGCAUGAAAUACAUUUUUGCACAGGAGGAAUAUUAAAUGCAAACUUACUGAAAGGACGUUGUGACUUGUUCUAUGUAUUGUAUUGAUUACUAUCUGCAUGCAGCAGAGAUAGUUCAAUAAUCCACCUGAACCAAUCAGAGUUUGACUUUAUGUUUGUGCAACAACAGACGCUGGAAAUAAGUAAUAAUAAGUAGAUGCUUUUAUUUUGGUAAUUUGCAGUGGCUGUAAUCAAAAAGAUCAGUUCUGCUAAUGCUAAAGCGCUACAUGCUACAGCAUUUCAUUUAGUAGAAGCAGAUGCUAAGAUGCUAACUUUAAUUUAAACUAGUUUGAAAAGUAGAAAAUCUGACAGAGGAAACGAAGGAAUUUUAAGAUUAAUCUCAGAAAUUAAAAAACAAUAUAGUAAUUUCUGAGUAUGAAAAGUCAAAAAAAAAAAAAGAAGCUCAAAUUUUUUUUGUUUUUUUUCUCUAAAAUUUCUCAAAAUUACAGUUUUUUUCUAGCAUUUCCUUUAACUUUUCAAACCCCAAAAUGUUCUGGCUAAAUUUCUUUCAGGAAAAUUUCUGAGAGUUCUCAGAACUUUUGGAUUAUUUUUCUAGCAAAUAUUUGCCUUUCAAACUCUGACAUUCCCACGUUUUUUUAUAGCAAAUUCGCAACUUUCCAAGCUCAGAGAUUUCUUUGUUUUUUCUACAACAUUUCAAAAGUUAAUAUCAAUAUCUGAGCUUUUUUAUAGCAUUUUUUUUUUACUUUUCAAACUCUGAAAUUUCUCUGUUUUUUCUUGAAAAUUUCUGAGAUUUUUUUGGUGGAAAUUUAACCCUUUACAUUUUCUUAUUUCCAAACUCCCAUUUUGUAUUUUCACUUAUCUGUGUAGGUCAGUGGUUGCUUGGCUGCCAGUCGUUCACAUGAAUUAAAUAAAAACAAUAAGGAUGAAUAAACUACAACGCUUCGACAUGUUUUCCAUUUGUGCUGCUGCUCCAACGUCUGGCAGCCUAAAGGUUUGGCGUCUUAAAGCAAGCGAUUCCUCUGAGCAGCAGAGAAGAAGAAAGGAGCUGAAGACGAGACGUUUAAGCUGAGAAUGAUGGGAAGAAACGCCGUUUGAUCCAUCUGAGCCACCGUCUCUUAAACCCAGAGGAUUUUCAGGGUUUCAGCAGAAAGGAAACGUUCACACAUGAA
Molecule: long non-coding RNA, 1642 nt
Organism: Gambusia affinis (western mosquitofish)
Lineage: Eukaryota; Metazoa; Chordata; Actinopteri; Cyprinodontiformes; Poeciliidae
Exons: 4
Source: RefSeq, a predicted model, not a curated record